GCAUAAUCAAUAGUCUUUUAAUUGAAGGCUCGUAUGAAUGGCUGGACGAGAAAUAAUCUGUUUUCUUAAUUCAAAUUUGAAAUUAACUUUUAAGUGAAAAGGCUUAAAUUGCUCAAGAAGACGAUAAGACCCUAUAAAUCUUUAUAAUAUAUUUUGUUGGGGCGAUGUGAAUAGAAAAGAAUCUGUUCAAAGAUUUUACAAACUAUAAUUGAAUUUAAUUUAUUUGAUCCUUAUUAAAGAUUAUAAGAUUAAGUUACUUUAGGGAUAACAGCGAGNUCNUAUCNAAAAAAAAGNUUGCNACCUCG
RNAcentral lists this ribosomal RNA (305 nucleotides) under Areopaguristes pilosus. RNAcentral's name for it is "partial 16S ribosomal RNA". Lineage: Eukaryota; Metazoa; Arthropoda; Malacostraca; Decapoda; Diogenidae. The record is from RNAcentral.